UUUAGAACUCGAGAUAUGGGCUGAACACUGAACAGUGUCUGGGCUGCAGGACAGAUUCUGACUUCUCCAUUGUUGCUACCAUUUGAACCCGAAAAUGACACUUUUAAAUCUUGGACUCUUCAUGAACGUUUUAGGCCUAUGUCAUAUCUUUCCAUA
Molecule: microRNA precursor, 156 nt
Filed under: Populus trichocarpa (black cottonwood)
Lineage: Eukaryota; Viridiplantae; Streptophyta; Magnoliopsida; Malpighiales; Salicaceae
Description: MIR2912 microRNA precursor family
Rfam family: MIR2912 microRNA precursor family
Source: Rfam by way of RNAcentral